Molecule: ribosomal RNA, 756 nt
Filed under: uncultured bacterium
Lineage: Bacteria
Description: bacterial SSU rRNA
Rfam family: Bacterial small subunit ribosomal RNA
Source: RNAcentral
GCCCUUAGAGUUUGAUUUAGGGCUCAGGAUAAACGCUGGCGGCGUGCCUAAUACAUGCAAGUCGAGCGAACGGACAAGAAGUCUUCGGACAUUUUGAAAGUGAGCGGCGAACGGGUGAGUAACACGUAGGUAACCUGCCCUUGAGAUUGGGAUAACAGUUGGAAACGACUGCUAAUACCGAAUGGGAACGAGUGAGGCAUCCCACAAGUUUAAAAGGAGCUUUCGGGCUUCGCUUAAGGAUGGACCUGCGGCGCAUUAGCUAGUUGGUGGGGUAAAGGCCUACCAAGGCGACGAUGCGUAGCCGACCUGAGACGGUGAUCGGCCACACUGGGACUGAGACACGGCCCAGACUCCUACGGGAGGCAGCAGUAGGGAAUUUUCCACAAUGGACGAAAGUCUGAUGGAGCAACGCCGCGUGUGCGAAGAAGGCCUUCGGGUUGUAAAGCACUGUUGUAAGGGAAGAACAGAUGUGAGAGGAAAUGCUCAUAUUGUGACGGUACCUUACCAGAAAGCCACGGCUAACUACGUGCCAGCAGCCGCGGUAAUACGUAGGUGGCGAGCGUUAUCCGGAAUUAUUGGGCGUAAAGGGCGUGUAGGCGGUGUUUUAAGUCUGAUGUGAAAGCCAACGGCUCAACCGUUGAAAUGCAUUGGAAACUGGAACACUUGAGUGUCGGAGAGGAAAGCGGAAUUCCUAGUGUAGCGGUGAAAUGCGUAGAUAUUAGGAGGAACACCAGUGGCGAAGGCGGCUUUCUGGAC